Long non-coding RNA from Pongo pygmaeus (Bornean orangutan), 1106 nucleotides. RefSeq lists it as uncharacterized. Lineage: Eukaryota; Metazoa; Chordata; Mammalia; Primates; Hominidae. The record is from RefSeq and is a predicted model, not a curated record. The transcript is spliced from 2 exons.
AUAUAAAGCGCCAUGGAGAUGAUUUCUGGGAGAGAAGCAAAAUAGAGAAUUCUACUGAGAAGACCUGUGGGAUGUACAGCCCUCAAAAUCCAGAAGCAUCGUAGCCUCAGAAAGAACAAAUUAUUUACAACUCAAGCUUCUGCAACAUGAUUCAAGGAACAUUCCCCCCAUCCUGCAGAAGCCUGGCUCUCCCAGAAGCUCAUCUACCCUCCAAGUUGAUCCACUCUGCCAAGACUUGCUGAACUGGAACCUGGAGAGGAUCAGCACCCCCAGGGGGAGCACGUGGUACCUGAGCAAGACCUAUUGCAGAGGGAGUGAAAGGAAACUGAAUCUUGAAAUCCCAAACUCAUUGAGCCAAAGAGAAAAGUCAAGGUGGGACCUGGGCCAUGCAAACUUGCCUUCCCCUUUUGGUUCCAAAAUAAGAUGGCUACACGAUGAAGCUACAUGCCUCCCCCAUAUUUUGCCCACAAGGAAAUUCCUAGUGAGCUGCAAGAUCUUUUAAGGUGUUUCUGUAAAAAUUUCACCAUGGCAGUGUAAAUGGAUAACUCAUGUUCACAGGUGCACCCCAGCCCACCAGACACAAAUGCAUAUCUGAUUGUUCCCUGCCCCAUUGUGUCUAGGUUAUCUUAUGUAACGUGCAGACUCCCUGCAUUUUCCCUCUGCUCCAUUUGUCUGUGUUGUUUUAGGUUAAAAAAAAAUGCAGAUUCACUGAGCCAGACAAAGGCAUGAAUGUUUUUCUCUGUCUCCCUCAUAUAUGAAAAUUGUGCACUUCUCAAUAUCCGGCCCUGUCCCCUUUAAAUUUGGAGCCCUGAAAAUCAUCUUGAGAGAAAGACAUAGACCUGUCUCCCAGGCGUGUGUCCUUAACUUUGGCAAAUAAACCUCCUAAAAAUGAUUGAGCGUUGUCUCAUCAUUUUUCUCAAUUGACAGGGGAGGCUUUCCAAACCAACAGCUCAAGGCCCACGGGGGUCAGAGACAAGAGGACCAAUUGCCAAUUGCUACCACUAGCAGUGACUCAGGGUCCACACUCUGAGACCAAGAGGCCUGAGAGGUCAGCUGUACAAAGAAGGCGGCAAGUGGUAGGAAAAAAUAAAUAAGAAUAAACCAAA